AAGGUGGCCUAUGCCACGGCCAUGGACUGGUUCAUCGCCGUCUGCUACGCCUUC
Non-coding RNA from Manacus vitellinus (golden-collared manakin), 54 nucleotides. NCBI's taxonomy places the organism in Eukaryota, Metazoa, Chordata, Aves, Passeriformes, Pipridae. The record is from Rfam.